UGGUCUGAUACAGGAAAAUUUCCAUGGCA
This 29-nucleotide non-coding RNA is filed under the name Homo sapiens (human). Lineage: Eukaryota; Metazoa; Chordata; Mammalia; Primates; Hominidae. The record is from RNAcentral.